UUUGGCGGGAGAUAUUCUUUUGUAUUCUGGUUCUGUAAUUCUUGAAUUGCAACCAAGACUUCUAGCCAGACAGGUGUGUUUCAGACUGAGACAAAGCAUACAGACUCAGACCUGUCAAGUCAUAUAAUGAGCCUGAUCCGCUGAUUGAUACUACGUAUAUGCAGUGUCGUGCACCUAGUUCCAUAAAUUGGGUGAAACGAUUAAUGCGACGUAACGCUCAGAAUAUAUAUAAUAUAGAACCCUACAAUCGUCUUGGUGUUUUGUUUUAUUCGUCCAAGAACGGUUACACAUAUUUA
Molecule: long non-coding RNA, 296 nt
Organism: Magallana angulata
Lineage: Eukaryota; Metazoa; Mollusca; Bivalvia; Ostreida; Ostreidae
Exons: 3
Source: RefSeq, a predicted model, not a curated record